Long non-coding RNA from Zophobas morio, 759 nucleotides. RefSeq lists it as uncharacterized. The transcript has 5 exons. The record is from RefSeq and is a predicted model, not a curated record. NCBI's taxonomy places the organism in Eukaryota, Metazoa, Arthropoda, Insecta, Coleoptera, Tenebrionidae.
GUUCUGUUUUAGUAUCAGUAAGAAGCUUGGAACGUAAUAAUAAUGAUUCACCUGCGACCUUAUCGUUAGGUUCAGAAGUUAAUACUUCUCCACAAGACUCCUUAAUCAUUACUGAACCAUGUAAUGUUGAUGAUCAAAUUGUAGACAAACUAAAUGAAAUUAUAAGAAAAACCACUCGGGUAGAAAUUAUGGUGAAAAGAUUAUUACAAAAAAUUAGUAAUGAUCCUACACAUACCCCAUUACAUAAUACUGACAGUAUUAGUAAUACAUGUAUACAACCUUUUACAAAGUACCGGCUGUUAUGUGAAUACGAAGAAAGAUUAAAAUCUGGCGAGGACGCCAGAAAAGAACUGGACAACAUUUUCCGCUUAUGUGGAGGCAACUCCACUAAAGAAAAUAUAAAAAGGGGUUUGCGCCGCAUAUUUGAUGAUAAAUUGGCUCGUAAAUGCUCUUGGCUGGGUAGAAAAAAUAAUUUUCAAGUGUCUAACUUGAUCAUUAUGGAUGUACUAAAAAUACAUUUUAGAUGCAGUUCGAAAAAAUUUUCCGUUAUUAACCGACAAAAUAUUUGAAUUAACUGUUUCUACAUGGCUGAGACAAGCAAAUCUUCGCUUCACGAGAAAACUUGAGAAAUAGUUGUAUGUAUAACUUUAACUUCCUGUCAGUAUUUUUUUAUAUUUUUUGUAUUUUGUUUUAUUUUAACUGUGCACUUUGUAAGUUACUUUUGUUUAAAAUUACCAUAUCAUAUAUGUAAUAAAUACA